Molecule: unclassified non-coding RNA, 265 nt
Filed under: Hevea brasiliensis (rubber tree)
Lineage: Eukaryota; Viridiplantae; Streptophyta; Magnoliopsida; Malpighiales; Euphorbiaceae
Source: RNAcentral
GAAAGCACAGGGAAGAGCAAAAGCAACAAGUUGGCAACUACUUCUCGUUCUUGUGUUGAAAACUUGCUUCAAGUUUCUGUUUUGCUUUGUUGCUAAAGUUGACGUUCAUCAUCAAGCAUUCCAAAAGCAAGCUGCCUCUGCAAGCAAUUUUUUCUACCAUACCAAGUAGAUUAUUUCUUUAAUUUCUUGAAUAUUUCAAUUUUAUUUUUGGGAUCUGCCUUAUGUUGAUGUAAAUGGUUAUGGGGAUUAUUACCGAAUUAACAAG